CGUAGGGGGCGAGCGUUGUCCGGAUUUAUUGGGCGUAAAGCGCGCGUAGGCGGUGCGGUAAGUCGGCCGUGAAAUCUCCCAGCUCAACUGGGAGGGGUCGGGCGAGACUGCCACACUCGAGGUGGGCAGAGGCCGGUGGAAUUCCGGGUGUAGUGGUGGAAUGCGUAGAGAUCCGGAGGAACACCAGUGGCGAAGGCGGCCGGCUGGGCCUGGCCUGACGCUGCGGCGCGAAAGCGUGGGGAGCGAUCCGGAUUAGAUACCCGGGUAGUCCACGCCGUAAACGAUGGGCACUAGGUGUCGGGGGUAUCGACCCCCUCGGUGCCGGCGCUAACGCAAUAAGUGCCCCGCCUGGGGAGUACGGCCGCAAGGCUA
RNAcentral lists this ribosomal RNA (372 nucleotides) under uncultured organism. Its description in RNAcentral is "bacterial SSU rRNA". It matches the Rfam family "Bacterial small subunit ribosomal RNA", at positions 526 to 896 of the family's 1533-position model. The record is from RNAcentral.